UCCUAUAUUUUAGAUGUUUAAACCUAUAU
This 29-nucleotide non-coding RNA is filed under the name Rattus norvegicus (Norway rat). Lineage: Eukaryota; Metazoa; Chordata; Mammalia; Rodentia; Muridae. The record is from RNAcentral.